GGAAUGCGCGAAAAAGGGGUGCGUCCGGACUUCAAAUCCGGUGUGCGGUCGAGAGGUCGCAGGUAGGUUCGACUCCUAUACGCUUCCGCCA
RNAcentral lists this transfer RNA (91 nucleotides) under Desulfolutivibrio sulfodismutans. Its description in RNAcentral is "tRNA-OTHER". It matches the Rfam family "Selenocysteine transfer RNA". Lineage: Bacteria; Pseudomonadati; Thermodesulfobacteriota; Desulfovibrionia; Desulfovibrionales; Desulfovibrionaceae. RNAcentral also lists the same sequence under 1 other name. The record is from RNAcentral.